Molecule: ribosomal RNA, 1241 nt
Filed under: metagenome
Description: bacterial LSU rRNA
Rfam family: Bacterial large subunit ribosomal RNA
Source: RNAcentral
UGAGUACGGGACGCUAAGGCGUCGAAGUAGUGGAUGUCAUACUUCCAAGAAAAGCUUGCACUGUCAUACAUAAAAAACGCCUGUACCAUAACCGACACAGGUGGGUAGGUAGAGUAUACUAAGGGGCGCGAGAUAACUCUCUCUAAGGAACUCGGCAAAAUGACUCCGUAACUUCGGGAGAAGGAGUGCCUUAUUCGUAAGGCUGCAAUAACAAGAUCCAAGCAACUGUUUAUCAAAAACACAGGUCUCCGCUAAGUCGUAAGACGAUGUAUGGGGGCUGACGCCUGCCCAGUGCCAGAAGGUUAAAGAAGUCGGUUAGCAUUAGCGAAGCUGGUAACUGAAGCCCUGGUGAACGGCGGCCGUAACUAUAACGGUCCUAAGGUAGCGAAAUUCCUUGUCGGGUAAGUUCCGACCCGCACGAAAGGCGUAAUGAUUUGGAUACUGUCUCGGAGAGGGGCUCGGUGAAAUAGACUUGUCUGUGAAGAUGCGGACUACCUGCACCAGGACAGAAAGACCCUAUGAAGCUUUACUGUAACUUGAAAUUGAAAUUGGACUUUAUUCGCGCAGUAUAGGUGGGAGGUGUUGAUUAUAAUCUUGCGGGAUUAUUGGAGCCAUCAGUGAGAUACCACUCUUGUAAUGUUAGAUUUCUAACUUUGAAUCAUUAUCUGGUCAAAGAACAGUUUCAGGCGGGCAGUUUGACUGGGGCGGUCGCCUCCUAAAUGGUAACGGAGGCGUACAAAGGUUUCCUCUGAACGGGUAGAAAUCGUAUCUAGAGUGUAAAGGCAUAAGGAAGCUUGACUGUGAGACCUACAAGUCGAGCAGGGACGAAAGUCGGUCUUAGUGAUCUGACGGUACUGAGUGGAAAGGCCGUCACUCAACGGAUAAAAGUUACUCUAGGAUAACAGGCUGAUCUCCCCCAAGAGUUCACAUCGACGGGGAGGUUUGGCACCUCGAUGUCGGCUCAUCGCAUCCUGGGGCGGUAGUACGUCCCAAGGGUUGGGCUGUUCGCCCAUGAAAGCGGUACGCGAGCUGGGUUCAGAACGUCGUGAGACAGUUCGGUCCAUAUCCGGUGUAGGCGUUAGAAUAUUGAGAGGAGCCUUCUUUAGUACGAGAGGACCGAGAAGGACAUACCUCUGGUGUACCAGUUAUCGUGCCAACGGUAAACGCUGGGUAGCUAUGUAUGGAGUGGAUAACCGCUGAAAGCAUCUAAGUGGGAAGCCCACCUCAAGAUAAGUAUUAUC